GUUAGCAUCCCAAAACUUGACAGAGGAACCAUCAGCUGUUGUUAUGUAUCGACCAUCCUGACUUACUUCAGCACUCGUUACAGGAAACUUGGUUUCAAGGGUUUGAACAACUUUAUUACUAUUAUUGUGCCUUGUUUGGUUCCUGACUUACUUCAGCACUCGUUACAGGAAACUUGGUUUCAAGGGUUUGAACAACUUUGCCACUCCUCACAUCCCAUAACCUAGGUUACAAGAAUUCAGUCAAGAUUAAGAUAGUGAACAGAUUGAUACAGGAACAUUGGGAAAGAAAUUAGCAUUUCCUUGCAGCCCAGAAGACUUAUACACAGGGAAAGAGAAAGUUCAUGACAGAAAUAUGAACCAUAUGUGUGGCCUUUAUAGCUAUCCGGUUACUUGGAUUUGUAUCUUGGCUAUUGCAAAAUUACCGGAUAGCUAUAAAGGCCACACUCGAUAACUUCAAGUGCCCGUGAACACUGACCACAUGAAUAAUACAACCAGAAGAAGAAUGAAAUGAACAAAACAGACAGCCAGUCCUUAAAUUCUGAAGGUCUACCUCAAUCCACCUGCAUCACCAGAGGAACUCAAUAAAGUUUGAUCACUGUGUAACCAAGCAACUGUCCUAACUGAACCAGGAGAGCUGUCAAUUUCCCUUGGAGGUGCAUCAAGUCGGUUUAGAUCAUAUAUCCGAAGAAUUUUUUCAAAACCACCAGUGAGUAGCAGAUGUGUAUCCUACAAAGUCGUCACACAAUAGUAGUUCAUAUAAACUAUCAAAACAUAAGAGAUUGAAUACAGAAGAUUACUCAGAACCUUAAAAAAUGUAUAUUCUUUUAACACUGAAAAAAUCUUUGUCAUCCAAUGGAAGCAGCAUGUCAUGACUCAGCAGUAAUUGAAUUUGGCAUUCACUACUUUUUAUUUUUCUUAGGCUAAAAUAAGGAGGUUUUCUAUUAGCACCCAAGGAUGUGGCCUCGCGAUCAAUGAGGGAUGAAAUCCAUUGGAGACCAAGAUUUAUAUCCUAGUGGAGGCUAAAGACGAUAAGUGAUUUCUAGCAAUCUGUCCAGGCCUUGGUUGAAAGAGUUACUAGUGGGAGGUAAAAAAUACCUGGUUUAAUAGUCGAGGUGCACACAAGUUGGCACAGAUACUAAUCUUAAAAAUGAGAUGUUCUAUCAAACCCCUAAGUUGAUUUAGUACGGGUAAUUUAGGGGCUUCUUUAUUUUCAUUGAAACAAUCAAAAUGAAUUUGGAGUCAGUUGCAAGUUUACGAGCAUUGAAAAAGUGUAACCACAAAGAAAAAACUUGAGAAGGAUAGGACUACAACUGGAACAUGGGAUUUCAUGUAAUCAACAACAACAACAACAAAGUAUAGUCCCACAAAGUGGGGUCUGGGGAGGGUAAUAUGUAGACGGGCCUUACCCCUACCCNNNNNNNNNNNNNNNNNNNNNNNNNNNNNNNNNNNNNNNNNNNNNNNNNNNNNNNNNNNNNNNNNNNNNNNNNNNNNNNNNNNNAGGUUGUUUCCAAUCGACCCUCGGCUCAGUGAAGGAAAGGAAAAACAAAAACAAAAACAAAAACAAAAGAGCAUUAGUAACUCCAGCAGAAAUAACGUUAAUAAUUAUCUAAACAUAAGAACCAUAGAUAAAAUAGGAUGCAAUAAUAUUAGACAGUGACUACCAUAAAUAACUACCAUAAGGGAGACACAAUCCAAUACACAAAUCAUCUCUGGAUAGCCCUGCCAAGCAUCACCCAACCCCGGGUAAGGAGUACGAAAAACUCUAGGGGCCCCUAUCCUACGACCCUGAUACUAGACCUCCAUACUUUCCUAUCAAGAACCAUGUCCUUGGAAACCCGCAUACUAGCCAUGUCAUGCCUAAUCACCUCUCCCCAAUACCUCUUAGACCUCCCUUUGCCUCGCCGAACGCUGACCAUCGCCAGCUGCUCACAACUCCUCACUGAGGCAUCAAGACUUCUCCUCCGCACAUUUCCGAACCACCUCAGCCUCGCUUCUCGCAUCUUCUCAUCCACCGGGGCCAGCCCCACCUUCUCUCGUAUAACUUAAUUCUUAAUCUUAGCUAAUCUGGUGAGCCCGCACAUCCACCUGAGCAUCCUCAUCUCCGCAACCUUCAUUCUCUGAACAUGAGAGUUCUUAUCUGGCCAGCACUCCGCCCCAUACAUGGCCAGUACUCUGCCCCAUACAACAUGGCAGGUCUAACCACAGCUCUAUAAAAUUUUCCCUUGGGAUUUCAUGUAAUCCUUCAACUAAAAUUGGAUUUCUAUAAGGGUAUCUGUUACAUUCACAGUAUGUUGUUUAAAUCCAUAUCUUAAUACAGGAGACAGUCACAGCUUAAUAGAACAAUCCUUUGAGAUGAUGUUAGAUCUGCAAUCCCAUAGUGCCAGCGAGUUCCCUCCCAAACACAGACAUUCUAAACUAAUAAGCAGAGUUUCCAUUGUCACAACUUGAGUACUAUGACUUAAGUGAAGUUCUAAUCUCUUAACCUGAAGGAACUAUAAAACAAUAAAGGAAAAAUGGUUGUAAUGGUACCUCUGAAAAGGCACAUGCUCGAACUAUGUGCUUGUGGUCAAAUGAAUGUAAAACAUCUCCAGUCAAUGCAUCCCACAAUUUCCUGAAAACAACCAACUCAAAACACAAUAUAGAAAACAAAAGGAUGAUAUAUACAGCAAAGGAAAAUUCUAAAAAGGAUUACCAAGAUUCUACUGUGUCUGCUAUUAGAUUAGCUAUUAAACCUGUUUUAACUAAUAACAUGCUAGGUUGGCCAAUAAUAAACAUGCUACAAUAGCACUUCUAUUGUUCUACAUCACUUCCCUAAUGACAGAUGUCAGCAUAUAAAUAUGGUCGCUUAAAUGGUUAUUUCCAAAGUAUGAGAUAACAUACGCGCUGAAAUCAGCAGAUGCAGAUGCAGCACGGAGAGCAUGUUUAUCCAGACAACAACUCCACACAGCUCCUUUAUGCCCUUCAAAUGUUCCAAUCCAAUCUCCAGUUUCUCCAUUUCUCAACAUUGGUGUAGAAUCUACAUGAUCGGAAUAUUUCAGAAGGUAAUACAAAUAACAACAGCACAAAUACUUAUUGCAGUAAAUGAACAUAUAUUAGAAGAAAAAGAGCAACAGGAAAAAAUCUUUUUCGGUUAGAUGGUAACACUCAGGAAUAACUUAGUUGUUUUUUUUUUUUUUUUGUGCUUGUGGUUGAGCUCCUGAGACUGGUCGUGAAAAGUCUGAGGCUAUUGAGAAAUCAGAAGGGGGUUCACCUACCAUUCUGCUCACAAAUAAGGUGAAAAAAUAGGCAUGCAUAAAAUGGCUUGCCUGAUCACUGACAAAUACUAGGAAUAAAAUCCAAAGGCUAUUGACAACACGAAAUACCAUGAGCUGCAGAAUACCCAUCAUUCUAUUCACCAAGAGUUAGAAGAUUUGGCGAAAAAACUAGGCAUAAAAAGUAUUUAAGAUGAUAACGAAUGCCAUGCCGACGCCUACCUUAGAACCAUCGCACUGAGUAAUAUUUUGAUAGAAUUGAAUGCCGAUAAAAGCAUUAAGGUUUACAUUUCGAGAGUUUGAUAACAUCUGCAAGUAAAUCAAGUUUGCAUUUCAAAGUAACCACUUAGACUUGAUAAGAACAUUUUCGAAAUUUUCCUUCUGAAUUCUAUGACGAUGUAAAUUCCUUUAGAUUGAAUAAUAAUCUCUUUUGGGCUUUUCCUAGAUUCCUGCUUCUAGUAUUUCUAUCUCUAAGCAAACACAUAAAUUAGAGUUUAACAAAAACACCUAAAUUUGAUACUACUCUAUCUGCUCAAAAACACCCACACACGUACACACAUAAAAAGGCAAUGAACAUACUAUAUACUAUAUUAGUAUACGUAUCCGCACUUCAGAAUCAAACGGCUCAUUCAUUACUGACUGUCCGGAAAAUGUUUGAUCAAGAUAAUGUAAUGCACUUGUGUCAAAUUCACUCAAUGCUUCAAUAUGUUAUCACAACUACCAAAUGGUAUAAAAAAGGAUCAAAAGAAUUACCCUUGCUGGCACUGAUGAGAAAGAAUCCAUCAGGAGUGAUUGGGCUGUAGAACAGAUCAACGACGGGCCGAGAAUGCCCAUGGCAUACAAGCGGUGCCACUGCCUUCUUUUUAUCCAUAUUAAAUCAAAUAAAAGCCCUAACAAUAUUAUAAUAUCAAGGAGAAACCCAACCCAGCGCCGAAUAUGAUGAAAAUGAAAUUGAUCAAAAAGUCCCCAAAUUAAACAAACCGACAAUUGACCGAUAACAAAAAAAUUACGCACAAUUGCCUUCACCGAUUUGUGACAUUAAAAGGAUCAAACACUAAUAAAACAAAAAAUCAAAAGAUCUACAAAUCACAAAUAGAGAAAUAUAUGUAUGUAUAGAUGUAUAAUAGGUGGGGAACUGGCGCGAUGAAUAAAGGUGGGAAACCCUAAUUUUUGAGAUUUGAUGUUUCUAGGAUGGAUCCACACCUUUUUCUAACCCUAUCAACUCAUAUAAAAAGAAGGUCCCAAGGAUAGAUCAGAGCUCGGAAUUAUUGGGCAAAAUUAGAAAAAAGAAAUCAUAUAAAAAGAAGGUCCUAAGGAUAGAUCAGAACUCGGGAAUUAUUGGACAAAAUUAGAAAAAAGAAAAAAAUACAAGAAAAAUAAAAAUCAUACUGAACUAUAGGGUUUGGCUGGCGCAGAGAAGACAAUGCGGC
RNAcentral lists this long non-coding RNA (4681 nucleotides) under Nicotiana benthamiana. Its description in RNAcentral is "long non-coding RNA (NBEN_LNC023621)". The record is from RNAcentral. Lineage: Eukaryota; Viridiplantae; Streptophyta; Magnoliopsida; Solanales; Solanaceae.